AGUGAACGCUGGCGGUAGGCCUAACACAUGCAGGUCGAACGGCAGCACAGGAGAGCUUGCUCUCUGGGUGGCGAGUGGCGGACGGGUGAGGAAUACAUCGGAAUCUACUUUUUCGUGGGGGAUAACGUAGGGAAACUUACGCUAAUACCGCAUACGACCUACGGGUGAAAGCAGGGGACCUUCGGGCCUUGCGCGAUUGAAUGAGCCGAUGUCGGAUUAGCUAGUUGGCGGGGUAAAGGCCCACCAAGGCGACGAUCCGUAGCUGGUCUGGGAGGAUGAUCAGCCACACUGGAAAUGAGACACGGUCCAGAGUCCUACGGGAGGCAGCAGUGGGGAAUAUUGGACAAUGGGCGCAAGCCUGAUCCAGCCAUACCGCGUGGGUGAAGAAGGCCUUCGGGUUGUAAAGCCCUUUUGUUGGGAAAGAAAUCCAGCUGGCUAAUACCCGGUUGGGAUGACGGUACCCAAAGAAUAAGCACCGGCUAACUUCGUGCCAGCCGCCGCGGUAA
Molecule: ribosomal RNA, 506 nt
Filed under: uncultured bacterium
Lineage: Bacteria
Description: partial 16S ribosomal RNA
Rfam family: Bacterial small subunit ribosomal RNA
Source: RNAcentral